ACUCAGGGGCUUCACCACUGAUUGUCCAAACGCAAUUCUUGUACGAGUCUGCGGCCAACCGAGAAUUGUGGCUGGACAUCUGUGGUUGAGCUCCGG
RNAcentral lists this microRNA precursor (96 nucleotides) under Rattus norvegicus (Norway rat). Its description in RNAcentral is "microRNA rno-mir-219a precursor (rno-mir-219a-2)". Its record names the gene rno-mir-219a-2. The stretch from base 11 to 89 matches the Rfam family "mir-219 microRNA precursor family". From Rfam's summary of the family: The hairpin precursors (represented here) are predicted based on base pairing and cross-species conservation -- their extents are not known. In this case the mature sequence is excised from the 5' arm of the hairpin. Lineage: Eukaryota; Metazoa; Chordata; Mammalia; Rodentia; Muridae. The record is from miRBase by way of RNAcentral.